GGAAGAGGAGAUUGGCAAUAGCUCUCCAAUAUCUCUGUGACCAGCUGCAUAGUGGAGGUUGCAAUAAACUGUGAUGCCCUUUACUGAAACUGGUGUUGCCUUCUUGUUUCCACAUUUGCGCAUAAAGAUGAGAAAUUGGGAAAAGAAUUAGCUCAGAAGGCUGACAGAAAAGGUACUGGAACAAUGCACAGAUCCAAUGUAGAGACAGAAGAGAGUGUUUUCCUCACACAUGAAUCUAUCUGGCCCUGAGGCCAGAGACUCCCUCAAAUGAGCAACAUGUCCUAGCUCUGCCCUCUUUCCAGGAUCAGGACUGGAGGAAGCAAUGGGAGAGGAACACCUCAGGGAGCAGCGUGGCCCUCUAGAAAGGGAGGGUUGGACAAUACUGGUAGUCCAAAAGGGCCGAGGACCUCCUGAAGCCAAACUCCAAGGGAUGAGGAGACCAGGCCAGACAGUAGUAGCUCCUGCCUGAGUAGACAGCAUGUCUUCCUUGUGGAAGUGUCCCAAAGAUAUAGCUAUGAAGAGCUUCGUUGUUUUGUUCUUCCAGCAUUCCUCCUCUCCACAUUAUAUCACUGAGGCAUCAAAGUGAUUCAUGACUGCACAGCAUGGGUCAGAGGAUACUCAACAGUGUUACUGGCAUAAUAGCAGCACCGCUUCUCCUGGCCUGAGAGCCUGUAAGCUUUCUAGAGCCAAUACAGGCAAAGCAACAAGGGAAACCAAACGAGCACAGAACACACUCAAAAUGCCAAUGCAGACACUCGCAGACAAACUCAGAAACUUCAGUCAGGAGGUUAUAGCCACAGCUUCUGGGCUAGUUUUCAACCCCUUUUCCUAAACCAUAUUCAAUUGUCUCCAAUUUUAUUCUCAGCAUUUUUAUUCUGGGGAAAAAAUGCACCUUUUGGCAUUUACUGCAGGGCUGAUCUACAAGGCGGAUCGCUAUCUGGCAUACCACUACACUAUCAGAAACAAUGCACGUAUAGCGAGAUUACUUUAUGAACUUCUCAAUGACAAUUUCUCUUUAGGCAGAAGACAUUACCCUGGGGAUAAAUAAUGUGGUCAUUGUUCUUUAUUGAUUUUUAUGAUCGAUAAUACAACAUAUUUCACCGUGACUAUUUGUAGGAAGAAUCUGGUUGACUUAAUAGGCUUCUGACAAAGAAACAUAACUGAAAACAUGCAAUUCCUCUUACCAUCAGUAACAUUUCUAAUUAGCACCUAUUUCAGAGACAUGGACUUCAAGCAGCCCAAAAUAAGGGUGAGCAAUGAAAAUACACCCAGAAAAUUUUUUGAUGGGCUUUUUAAAAUCCCACCUAUAUUAAGCUAACAUCAGCAAUAAAAACACGUUUCUCUCCUCCCUCUUCCCUCUG
This 1361-nucleotide long non-coding RNA is filed under the name Struthio camelus australis. RNAcentral's name for it is "lncRNA (ENSSCUG00000007132.1)". Lineage: Eukaryota; Metazoa; Chordata; Aves; Struthioniformes; Struthionidae. The record is from RNAcentral.